GUCCUCGUAGCUCAGUCGGAUAGAGCAGUGGUUUCCUAAACCGAAGGUCGGAGGUUCAAAUCCUCCCGGGGACGCCC
Molecule: transfer RNA, 77 nt
Filed under: Myxococcales bacterium SG8_38_1
Lineage: Bacteria; Pseudomonadati; Myxococcota; Myxococcia; Myxococcales
Description: tRNA-Arg
Rfam family: tRNA
About the family: Transfer RNA (tRNA) molecules are approximately 80 nucleotides in length.
Source: RNAcentral